UAGCCAUGCAGUGAGGGAGGCAGCGGUCAUCUGGGUUAGUUGGCUCAUCAGAAAUAUAUGAUUGGGCAUCAUCUGCAUAUCUUUGGAAGUUUACAUUAUGCUAACAUAUAAUGUUUCCUAACAGAAGCAUAUAUAGGGGAAAAAAGCAGAGGACCAAGAGUGCAUAUGCUGCAACAAUUAGCUUCCAGUAUAAUCAAUAUAACCGGCUACACCAGAAAUCAUAGCGGCACUCACAUUCCAAAAAAUUAGAUCAGGCAUCUAAAGCUAUUAAUACGCUCUGCGACCGGAACAUUUCAAUUACGGAGGAAGAAGAGACAGACAGACAGCAGAUAGACACUACUGGGGAAAAGAUGGAGUGAUCGACACUACUGGGGAAAAGAUGGAGUGAUAGACACUACUGGGGAAAAGAUGGAGUGAU
Alosa sapidissima (American shad) is the source of this 418-nucleotide long non-coding RNA. RefSeq lists it as uncharacterized. The record is from RefSeq and is a predicted model, not a curated record. NCBI's taxonomy places the organism in Eukaryota, Metazoa, Chordata, Actinopteri, Clupeiformes, Clupeidae. The transcript has 3 exons.